CCCUUAGAUGUCCUGGGCUGCACGCGCGCUACACUGAUGUGUCCAGUAAGCACCUAACCUCUUCCGAAAGGAACGGGUAACCUUUGCAAAGCACAUCGUGAUGGGGAUAGAUUAUUGCAAUUAUUAGUCUUGAACGAGGAAUUCCUAGUAAGCACAAGUCAUCAGCUUGUGUUGAUUACGUCCCUGCCCUUUGUACACACCGCCCGUCGUUCCUACCGAUUGAAUGUUCCGGUGAGCUCUUCGGACUGCGCGGUCUGCAGUUUCUGCGUUCCGUGCGGAAAGUUGCGCAAACCUUAACAUUUAGAGGAAGGAGAAGUCGUAACA
Molecule: ribosomal RNA, 324 nt
Filed under: uncultured eukaryote
Lineage: Eukaryota
Description: partial 18S ribosomal RNA
Rfam family: Eukaryotic small subunit ribosomal RNA
Source: RNAcentral